This 576-nucleotide ribosomal RNA is filed under the name Arthrobacter sp. 19G-34. RNAcentral's name for it is "bacterial SSU rRNA". It matches the Rfam family "Bacterial small subunit ribosomal RNA", at positions 292 to 878 of the family's 1533-position model. Lineage: Bacteria; Bacillati; Actinomycetota; Actinomycetes; Micrococcales; Micrococcaceae. The record is from RNAcentral.
CUGAGAGGGUGACCGGCCACACUGGGACUGAGACACGGCCCAGACUCCUACGGGAGGCAGCAGUGGGGAAUAUUGCACAAUGGGCGCAAGCCUGAUGCAGCGACGCCGCGUGAGGGAUGACGGCCUUCGGGUUGUAAACCUCUUUCAGUAGGGAAGAAGCGUAAGUGACGGUACCUGCAGAAGAAGCGCCGGCUAACUACGUGCCAGCAGCCGCGGUAAUACGUAGGGCGCAAGCGUUAUCCGGAAUUAUUGGGCGUAAAGAGCUCGUAGGCGGUUUGUCGCGUCUGCUGUGAAAGACCGGGGCUCAACUCCGGUUCUGCAGUGGGUACGGGCAGACUAGAGUGCAGUAGGGGAGACUGGAAUUCCUGGUGUAGCGGUGAAAUGCGCAGAUAUCAGGAGGAACACCGAUGGCGAAGGCAGGUCUCUGGGCUGUAACUGACGCUGAGGAGCGAAAGCAUGGGGAGCGAACAGGAUUAGAUACCCUGGUAGUCCAUGCCGUAAACGUUGGGCACUAGGUGUGGGGGACAUUCCACGUUUUCCGCGCCGUAGCUAACGCAUUAAGUGCCCCGCUGGGGG